Molecule: ribosomal RNA, 301 nt
Filed under: uncultured bacterium
Lineage: Bacteria
Description: partial 16S ribosomal RNA
Rfam family: Bacterial small subunit ribosomal RNA
Source: RNAcentral
CAGUAGCCGCGGUAAUACGGAGGAUCCAAGCGUUAUCCGGAAUCAUUGGGUUUAAAGGGUCCGUAGGCGGUCUUGUAAGUCAGUGGUGAAAGCCCAUCGCUCAACGGUGGAACGGCCAUUGAUACUGCAGGACUUGAAUUAUUGGGAAGUAACUAGAAUAUGUAGUGUAGCGGUGAAAUGCUUAGAGAUUACAUGGAAUACCAAUUGCGAAGGCAGGUUACUACCAAUUGAUUGACGCUGAUGGACAAAAGCGUGGGUAGCGAACAGGAUUAGAGACCCGCGUAGUCCCUGUCUCUUAUAC